Molecule: long non-coding RNA, 1008 nt
Filed under: Ficedula albicollis (Collared flycatcher)
Lineage: Eukaryota; Metazoa; Chordata; Aves; Passeriformes; Muscicapidae
Description: lncRNA (ENSFALG00000029055.1)
Source: RNAcentral
AUGGGAAAAGUGCAGCGUGAGGACAUGGAACAGAGCAGAAAAACGCUCCACACACCCGGGGUUGAUUUGGGUACAAAGCACAACUGCCAGCUGUCCCCGCAGGGAAGGGAGGCCGGAGAUGUUCGCAGGAGGGAGGGGCUCAGUCCCGGGCGGGGCAGGAUUUGGGUACAAAGCACAACUGCCAGCUGUCCCCGCAGGGAAGGGAGGGGCUCAGUCCCGGGAGGGGCAAGAUUUGGGUACAAAGCACAACUGCCAGCUGUCCCCGCAGGGAAGGGAGGGGCUCAGUCCCGGGCGGGGCAGGAUUUGGGUACAAAGCACAACUGCCAGCUGUCCCCGCAGGGAAGGGAGGGGCUCAGUCCCGGGCGGGGCAGGAUUUGGGUACAAAGCACAACUGCCAGCUGUCCCCGCAGGGAAGGGAGGGGCUCAGUCCCGGGCGGGGCAGGAUUUGGGUACAAAGCACAACUGCCAGCUGUCCCCGCAGGGAAGGGAGGGGCUCAGUCCCGGGCGGGGCAGGAUUUGGGUACAAAGCACAACUGCCAGCUGUCCCCGCAGGGAAGGGAGGGGCUCAGUCCCGGGCGGGGCAGGAUUUGGGUACAAAGCACAACUGCCAGCUGUCCCCGCAGGGAAGGGAGGGGCUCAGUCCCGGGCGGGGCAGGAUUUGGGUACAAAGCACAACUGCCAGCUGUCCCCGCAGGGAAGGGAGGGGCUCAGUCCCGGGCGGGGCAGGAUUUGGGUACAAAGCACAACUGCCAGCUGUCCCCGCAGGGAAGGGAGGGGCUCAGUCCCGGGCGGGGCAGGAUUUGGGUACAAAGCACAACUGCCAGCUGUCCCCGCAGGGAAGGGAGGGGCUCAGUCCCGGGGGGGGGGGGGGGGGGGGGGGGCCCCAAAAAUCACCCCAAAAUCACCUGCAAAAUCACUCCAAAAUCCCCCCAAAUUCACCCUCAAAAAUCACUCCAAAUAACCUUCAAGUCACCUCCAAAAUCACCCCAGAAUCCAUCCCUGGAAUGA